UAGUUGAACGGAUGGUUGUGA
Molecule: non-coding RNA, 21 nt
Filed under: Arabidopsis thaliana (thale cress)
Lineage: Eukaryota; Viridiplantae; Streptophyta; Magnoliopsida; Brassicales; Brassicaceae
Source: RNAcentral